Long non-coding RNA from Nematolebias whitei (Rio pearlfish), 316 nucleotides. RefSeq lists it as uncharacterized. The transcript is spliced from 3 exons. The record is from RefSeq and is a predicted model, not a curated record. NCBI's taxonomy places the organism in Eukaryota, Metazoa, Chordata, Actinopteri, Cyprinodontiformes, Rivulidae.
CUUCUUGCCUUCCUUUGAUGAUUUUCUUUUUUUUUCUUCCUCCCUUCGUUUUAUUGAGAACAACGCUUUAAAGACUGAAGACUAGAUUCGCAUUUUACAGCCGAUAUCUUUUACUAAGUUUCCCAAGGUGAUUUAAAACAGCCAUGGCCCGUACUAAGCAGACUGCUCGUAAGUCAACUGGAGGCAAAGCUCCACGUAAGCAGCUGGCUACCAAGGCCGCUCGUAAAAGUGCCCCGUCCACUGGAGGGGUCAAGAAGCCCCAUCGCUACAGGCCCGGCACCGUGGCUCUGCGUGAGAUCCGUCGUUAUCAGAAGUC